CCACCCAUUCCAGGGCUUUCCCCCAAUACAUUUUAUUUGCCACAGAAGUGAUAGCCAGAGAUGGUGGCAUGCCUCCAGAUUUUCUCUUGUUCCCAAGCAAGGAUUCCUCUCUGACUGAAUAUUUUCCCCUUGAGGGCCUUCAAGUGACUUGACACCUUACCAACAUGGUGUGCUUGCAAUGCCAAGGCGGAUCUUUUGCAACUCACAUCCUCUUCGAUUGUCUGGCGGAGUGCCAAAUCUUUACCAGCAAACAUCCUCCCCAACUUCCUGGGAACGAUAUAUAAGCAAGCCUAGCCUACUACUGGACAUUCACCCAGAUAUCACCAUGAGGUCCAGUCUCUUCUUCUUUUCUGUGGGACUCCUUGCUCUCGGGGGAAACCUGCCCAGGACUUCUGGCCAGAAGGUUACAGGAAUGAUAUAUAAGCAAGCCUAGCCUGCUACUGGGCAUUCACCCACAUAUCACCAUGGCUUCCACCCUCUUCUUCUUUUCUGUGGGACUCCUCGCUCUCGGGGGAAACCUGCCCAGGACUUCUGGCCAGAAGGUUACAGGUCCUUGUUCCGAUGCACAAGUCCAUGUGGAGACCAUCCCGCCAUCUUUUACUGAUAUUUACCUAACCAAGUUGGCCAAGCUGACCUGCAGGAUCUCCAACAUUCCCUAUGAUCAGGAUCUCGAAGUCCUGGAUGUCAUCUGGACAAGAAAAUCUGACAACAAAGAGCUGAAGACAACCAAGGGAGAGAAACAAGAGCAAGAAAACAAUGAGCUGGUAUUUGUAGACGCAACAGCAUCUGUGGGCAUAGAAGAAUGGAACAGUGGAGAGACCUUUGAGUGCAAAGUUACUCUUCCCCUUCUUCCCGCAGCUGAGAAAAAAACCCUGCAAAAGCCUAAGGGUGGCACUCCCAGAGCUCCCGAGGUCUACGUCCUCCCCCCUCCCUCAGAACAACUGAAAUUGCAGGAAACAGCCACCCUCACUUGCCUGCUGAAAGGUUUCUACCCCAGUGACUUCUUCGUGACAUGGCUCCGGAAUGAUGAGCCCGUGGGAGCUUCAGAGUACAUCACCAGCCAUCCUGUACAGGAAUCCAAGACCCCCGAGCGGUACUUCACCUACAGCACAUUGAAUGUCAAGGAGCAGGACUGGAGUCAUGGGGCCACUUACACUUGCAUGGUGGGACACGAAGCACUUCCCCUUCAGACAAUUCAGAAGACCAUAUACCAGAACAUGCGUCGUCCAACGUUCAAGAUCUUUACUAAAAUCUUGGCCCAACUUGGGUGCCGGCUGGAGUAGAGCCUGCUAAACACUCCCUGGGAAUAUGGGCUCUCUAAGUCCAACGGGGGCCGUUCUGACGCCCAUGAACCACAAACCUUGAACCGGUACGUCAGCAGGAAAUGUUCAUUUCAGUUCGUUAGUUCGUAUUCAUCAGUGCCACCGAACCACAAACCGUUGGUUCAUUAAAUUUUUUUGGUUUGUGCCCAUGUCUAGUCGGGAUAAGGGAGUGUUAAUGAAAGCACUCUAAUAAAAAAGAUUUUCCAGCAUAAGUGUAAUCAAAAGAUUACACCAAAAUAAAAUUUUCUUUGG
Eublepharis macularius is the source of this 1574-nucleotide non-coding RNA. NCBI's taxonomy places the organism in Eukaryota, Metazoa, Chordata, Lepidosauria, Squamata, Eublepharidae. The record is from the annotation of a RefSeq genome assembly.